Long non-coding RNA from Athene cunicularia (burrowing owl), 665 nucleotides. Lineage: Eukaryota; Metazoa; Chordata; Aves; Strigiformes; Strigidae. The record is from Ensembl.
AUUGCUCUAUUUAAAGGAGCACAAGAACAACCACAGAGGCAAAGCUUAACACUUGCCAAUAAAACUAACAGAGGGGGGGAUGGCAGAACCAGCCCAAGUCCCACUUUCACGUCUCGUUGUCCCCAUCCUCCUCGCAGUUGGCUGGAUCGUGGGUUGUGCACUAAUGGUUUACAUUGUCUUCUCUUGAUAGAAGACAGAAGAAUUUACAGUUAUGUUGAGUCGAAGAACCUGGAAGUUAAAUUGAAAUUUCUAAUGAAUACAAUAUGUAUAAAAUGAGUUAUUUUUAAUAUCAACACUGCAAACAUGGUGUAUGCUUUUUAUCCACAACAAAGGUUUGAAAUGCUGAUGAGAGCAUUAGGAAGAAUCAUCAAACCAAUUUCCCAGUUUUUGAGUGGUUUGUAAUUGAGUGAGUAGUUCCUGGGGUCCAGUAGGUCAGAUACCUGCCGGUUCUGCAGCCUGCUUUCUUGUCACCAGCUUGAAUUUAAGCGGUUUUGGAAACAACAUUCCCAGAGUUAGUGAUGCAGUGGUGGACAAAAAUGUGAGUUAAGUUUGGUUGUGGGAUGUGGGGAGCUGGGGAAGAAGUAUCUCAAUAUAUUUGGGAAAGUUUUGAGUUAAGACUUUUAAAAAAGUUUUUUAGUAAAAAAUAAAUUGUUAAAUGUAAAACA